UACAGAGGGUGCGAGCGUUGUCCGGAAUCACUGGGCGUAAAGGGUGCGUAGGUGGGUUGGUAAGUCAGUGGUGAAAUCUCCGUGCUUAACAUGGAAACUGCCAUUGAUACUACUGAUCUUGAAUUUUCAGGAGGUAAGCGGAAUAUGUCAUGUAGCGGUGAAAUGCUUAGAUAUGACAUAGAACACCAAUUGCGAAGGCAGCUUACUACAGGAAUAUUGACACUGAUGCACGAAAGCGUGGGGAUCAAACAGG
RNAcentral lists this ribosomal RNA (253 nucleotides) under uncultured bacterium. RNAcentral describes it as "partial 16S ribosomal RNA". It matches the Rfam family "Bacterial small subunit ribosomal RNA", at positions 524 to 776 of the family's 1533-position model. The record is from RNAcentral.